This is a long non-coding RNA of Equus quagga, 2155 nucleotides long. RefSeq lists it as uncharacterized. The transcript is spliced from 4 exons. Lineage: Eukaryota; Metazoa; Chordata; Mammalia; Perissodactyla; Equidae. The record is from RefSeq and is a predicted model, not a curated record.
AAGAGGAGGAUUGGCAGCAGUUAGCUCAGGGCUAAUCUUGCUCAAAAAAAAAAGAAAAAGAAAAAAAUCCCAGCUUUUGGAAAGAAUGCUUUCCCCGACCCCUAGACCAGGCCAGACCUCCCAAAAGGGGUUUGAAGAAUCCCCACUCCCCAGCACUGGGGUCAUCUGUGGUCUCUCUCCCACACUCCCCACUGAAGAGGGCUCCAGAGGCCAGGGACAAAGAGCGGCUCUUUGCCCUGGCUCCAGCAACAGUGCCCAGGCUGAUCUGCGGGCAGGUGUUUAAAAAAGACGCCAGGAAUAAAUGAUUGAAGAAGCUGAACCAGAAGGGGCAAGACACGAGCUGAGCCACGCAGGAGGGCUCCGCUUUGUCCCAUGGAGGACGUGCAUGGGGCCUAGGUGGGGCUUAGGGCACAGAGGCCCUGCCCGGGGUUCCAGGUAUCAGCGGAGGAGGGACGGCUUGAGGAGGAAAGGAGGGAGGGUGGGAGGAGAGAGGAGGGAGGCUGGGAAAGUCCCCGCCCCCAGGCCAGCCGGGAAAGUAGGGGAAAGGUGGCCGGGGGAGGGGAGGGCCCAAGACGGGUGAGGGGGGGCAGUGUGGCGGCACUGCGGGGGUGGGGGCGGGAACUGAGUGACUACAGACACUUUCCGGCCCCCCGGGCAGCUCCUCUUUCCCCCACUCUCCUCUCUUCCAAUCAAGACAGGCGCGCGGCCAAAGCACCAAUGUGGCUUCUAUUAGCAGCAGCUGUUUGUCUCCAGCUCUGAACUUUCCCCUACUUGGCAGGGCUCAGCCCGCAGCCUGGGAGUCCCCACAGCGACGCCCCCCCGCCGCCACAUUCCCAGGCGGACCUCUGCCUGCUGGCCCCGCCCCACAGCCUCUCAGCCGGGGAGGGUGGUGCGCUGGGGCGCGACGGACCCUUACUGGGUCCGAGGGGGGAGCCCUCAAGACUCGAAGGCUGGAAGCGAGUAACCCGCCGGAGGGUAUGAGGCGGGGAUCGAGCUUUCAUCCAGUUGACUGCGGCCACAGAUGCCCGGCCGAGUGACGGCCUAGGGGGGAGCACAGGGAAGCCAGCCAGGUCUGGGGCAGGGAGCUGAGCGCGUGUGCCAGACACACACACAGACACGCUGCCGUUGGAGAUCUGGGGUGAUUUGUGGCAUACACGACAAAGGACCCAGAACUCACGGUGAUGGCAAAGGCUCACUUUUUUCGGGGGUGGCGAACGGGAGGGAGGGUGAUCAGGGACUCGGGGGCCAACAGAGGGGUGAGGGACUAGGUGUGCGGGUCAGAGAUGCAAGAGCGAAUGGUUUGUCUGGCCAGGGAGAUGGGGGUUCCCUGCCCUAGCCGCCCCGCCCCCAACCACACUCCAAAAGACCUUGGGGGGGCUAAACCUCAGAAAAUUCUCUCUUCAUCUAGUGAGGACUCCAGGCUCCCUAGCUGGCACCCGUUUGUCCCCCUCGCGCCCUCCUAGAAGGUUCCAGCCUGCAGGAAGGUGGCCCUGAGCUGCACCACCCGCUUCCCCCCACCCCUGCAGCUCAAGUUCCUCUUGGACGCUCUCUCCCAACCCCUGCUCCAGAUCCCUUGUUCUGGGAGAAGCUGACUGCCAUGCUGUGAGGACGCUCAAGCAGCCUUUGAGAGAGAUCCACAUGUUUCCUGAUGGUCAUUGCUGAAGAGCAUAUUGCGAUCAUAGUAAGAACCACAAAGGCUGGACCAACCACAACAUCGGUUAUUGCAGGAUGGCCUGAGUUUCUUACAUGGCGAUGGCAGUGUUUCAAGACGACGAGACCCAAGACCCAAGAUGUAUCAGCUUCUGCUUGUGUCACAUGGGCUGACAUCCCAAUAGCCAAAGCUACGCAAGAGCAGGGACGUCAUUCAGCAUGAAGCAUUGGGGGCCACUGAGGCAUAGCCUCUCACAGUCAGCUUGACGUAGAACUUUAAAUAUUUGGACGUAUAGCCCUGCAAAUAUGGGGAUGGGCCUCUCUGCCUCAGGGACUCAGUGCAAAUCAGGAUCCCAUCAUGGAGGUCAGACCCAGCACAGACUCACUUCAUGCAUUCUGCAAACAUUGCUAAAGCACCUACUGUGCACCAGGCUGUAUGCCGCACACUGGGGACACAGCCCCGAGCAGGCAGACGUGGUCCUGUGCUCAAGAAGUCGCAGGCCAC